GCCUCAUAACCAUCAGUUGUUACUGAUGCUUGUUUUGGUUGUCAAAGAAGAAUGAGGAGAGGAGUUAUAGGAGGUGGACUUGGAGGUUUGUUCGGGGUCACUGGCUGCAGCAAGUCUCCUCCCACAGAGCCGACCCCAUUCCUCAGACCUACACUCUGUACAGCAUGGGUACUGACCAACUCAUGGUUAAAUGCGUAGGAGAAACUGAAGCACAGCUGAGGUGCCCACCAUCAGCAGAGCUAGGCCGGCAUCAGAGGAAGCUGGGCCUCCAAGCCCUUCUCGGACUCAGAAUCCUCCCAGCAGACACCCAGGCAGAGGAGUGUGAAUUCUCAGCCCCUAAAAAGGUU
RNAcentral lists this non-coding RNA (347 nucleotides) under Pan troglodytes (chimpanzee). The record is from RNAcentral. Lineage: Eukaryota; Metazoa; Chordata; Mammalia; Primates; Hominidae.